CAGAGGUUACUGCUAUCGAGAUUCGACUAAGYCAUGCGAGUUGAAUGUUCUUCGUGAACAUGGCGGACUGCUCAGUAACACGUGGACAACCUACCCUUGGGUCCGGCAUAAUCCUGGGAAACUGGGAAUAAUUCCGGAUAGGUCACCGAUGCUGGAAUGCGCGGUGGCCGAAAGCUCCGGCGCCCGAGGAUGGGUCUGCGGCCUAUCAGGGUUGUAGUGGGUGUAACGUACCUACUAGCCUACGACGGGUACGGGUUGUGAGAGCAAGAGCCCGGAGAUGGAUUCUGAGACACGAAUCCAGGCCCUACGGGGUGCAGCAGGCGCGAAAACUUUACAAUGCGGGAAACCGUGAUAAGGGGAUCUCGAGUGCCAGCAUAUAAUGUUGGCUGUCCAGAUGCCUAAAAAGCAUCUGUUAGCAAGGGCCGGGCAAGACCGGUGCCAGCCGCCGCGGUAACACCGGCGGCCCGAGUGGUAACCGCUAUUAUUGGGUCUAAAGGGUCUGUAGCCGGCCAGGUAAGUCCCUUGGGAAAUCUGGCAGCUCAACUGUCAGGCUGCUAGGGGAUACUGUUUGGCUUGGGACCGGGAGAGGUGAGAGGUACCUUGGGGGUAGGGGUGAAAUCUUGUGAUCCUCGAGGGACCACCAGUGGCGAAGGCGUCUCACCAGAACGGGUCCGACGGUAAGGGACGAAAGCUAGGGGCACGAACCGGAUUAGAUACCCGGGUAGUCCUAGCCGUAAACGAUGCUCGCUAGGUGUCAGUCACGGUGCGACCGUGAUUGGUGCCGUAGGGAAGCCGUGAAGCGAGCCACCUGGGAAGUAUGGCCGCAAGGCUGAAACUUAAAGGAAUUGGCGGGGGAGCACUACRMCGGSUGGAGCCUGCGGUUUAUUG
RNAcentral lists this ribosomal RNA (888 nucleotides) under uncultured Methanosaeta sp. RNAcentral describes it as "bacterial SSU rRNA". It matches the Rfam family "Archaeal small subunit ribosomal RNA", at positions 18 to 907 of the family's 1478-position model. The record is from RNAcentral. Lineage: Archaea; Methanobacteriati; Methanobacteriota; Methanomicrobia; Methanotrichales; Methanotrichaceae.